AUGGCGCACCGGGUGGACAACGAGUACGACUACCUCUUCAAGAUCGUGCUCAUCGGCGACUCCGGCGUCGGCAAGUCCAACAUCCUCUCCCGCUUCACCCGCAACGAGUUCUGCCUCGAGUCCAAGUCCACCAUCGGCGUCGAGUUCGCCACCCGCACCCUCCAGGUAGAAGGCAAGACCAUUAAAGCUCAGAUAUGGGAUACUGCUGGCCAAGAGAGGUACCGUGCAAUCACAAGUGCUUACUACAGGGGAGCUGUGGGAGCUCUUUUGGUGUAUGACAUAACAAAGAAGCUAUCAUUUGAAAACAUCAAUAGGUGGCUUAGUGAGCUCCGUAACCAUGCUGACUCCAACAUUGUCAUCAUGAUGGUUGGAAACAAAUCCGACCUUAACCACCUGAGGUCAGUUCAAGAGGAAGAAGGGCAGGCAUUAGCAGAGAAGGAAGGGCUAUCCUUCCUUGAGACCUCGGCACUGGAAGCCUUGAACGUCGAGAAGGCGUUUCAGACUAUCCUUUCCGACAUCCAUCAGAUCAUAAGCAAGAAGGCGCUCGCUGCCCAGGAGGCUGCAGGAAGUGGACCUCCGACUCAAGGAACCACCAUCAAUGUUGCCGAUUCAUCUGGCAACACAAAGAAAGGGUGCUGUUCUACCUAG
This 648-nucleotide ribosomal RNA is filed under the name Triticum aestivum (bread wheat). RNAcentral's name for it is "partial small subunit ribosomal RNA". Lineage: Eukaryota; Viridiplantae; Streptophyta; Magnoliopsida; Poales; Poaceae. The record is from RNAcentral.